This 516-nucleotide ribosomal RNA is filed under the name uncultured eukaryote. RNAcentral's name for it is "eukaryotic LSU rRNA". The stretch from base 1 to 446 matches the Rfam family "Eukaryotic large subunit ribosomal RNA", at positions 1010 to 1451 of the family's 3401-position model. The record is from RNAcentral.
AAAGCGAAUGAUUAGAGGUCUUGGGGCUGCAACAGCCUUAGCCUAUUCUCAAAACUUUUAAAUGGGUAAGCCGGGCUGCGUUUCUUUGGUGAACGGGCCUGCGUACGAAUGACCGCGUUCCUAGUGGGCCAUUUUUGGUAAGCAGAACUGGCGAUGCGGGAUGAACCGGAAGCACGGGUAAGGUGCCAGAGUGUGCGCAAACGGACACCACAAAAGGUGUUGGUUCAUCUAGACAGCAGGGCGGUGGCCAUGAAUGUCGGCAUCCGCUAAGGAGUGUGUCAUGACUCACCUGCCGAAUGAACUAGCCCUGAAAAUGGAUGGCGCUGUAGCGUGCCACCGACACCGUGCCGACAGACGCAGCAGUGGGUUUGUCGUGUAGGAGGGCGUGGGGGCUGUUGGGCAGCGGGCGCUGCGAGGCGACGUGAAACAGCCCCUAGUGCAGCUCUAACACGGGUGGUAUACCCCAUCCAAGGCUAAAUAGGGACGAGAGACCGAUAGCGAACAAGUACCGUGAGG